AGGGUUUGAUCAUGGCUCAGAAUGAACGCUGGCGGCGUGCUUUACACAUGCAAGUCGAGCGAGGCGGGUAGCAAUACCCAGUCGAGCGGCGAACGGGUGAGUAACGCGUGGAUGACCUGCCCUUCAGCGGGGAAUAACCCGGGGAAACUCGGGCUAAUACCGCAUACGAUCGAGAGAUGAAAGAGGGCCGCAAGGCUCUUACUGAAGGAGGGGUCCGCGUCCGAUUAGCUAGUUGGUAGGGUAAUGGCCUACCAAGGCGACGAUCGGUAGCCGGCCUGAGAGGGUGAUCGGCCACACUGGAACUGAGACACGGUCCAGACUCCUACGGGAGGCAGCAGUGGGGAAUUUUGCGCAAUGGGCUAACGCCUGACGCAGCAACGCCGCGUGGAGGAUGAAGGUCUUUGGAUUGUAAACUCCUGUCAGCAGGGAAAAAGGGAUAGGCGUUAAUACCGCUUAAACUUGAUUGUACCUGCAGAGGAAGCCCCGGCUAACUCUGUGCCAGCAGCCGCGGUAAUACAGAGGGGGCAAGCGUUAUUCGGAAUUAUUGGGCGUAAAGGACGCGUAGGCGGCUUUUCAAGUGACGGGUGAAAUCCCUCGGCUUAACCGAGGAACUGCCUGUCAGACUGGAUUGCUUGAGGCCGGGAGAGGCGAGUGGAAUUCCCAGUGUAGCGGUGAAAUGCGUAGAUAUUGGGAGGAACACCAGUGGCGAAGGCGGCUCGCUGGACCGGUUCUGACGCUGAGGCGCGAAAGCGUGGGGAGCAAACAGGAUUAGAUACCCUGGUAGUCCACGCCGUAAACGAUGAGUGCUUGGUGUAGCGGGUAUCGACCCCUGCUGUGCCGACGUCAACACAUUAAGCACUCCGCCUGGGGAGUACGGGUCGCAAGACUGAAACUCAAAGGAAUUGACGGGGGCCCGCACAAGCGGUG
RNAcentral lists this ribosomal RNA (927 nucleotides) under uncultured Acidobacteriota bacterium. RNAcentral's name for it is "bacterial SSU rRNA". It matches the Rfam family "Bacterial small subunit ribosomal RNA", at positions 8 to 934 of the family's 1533-position model. The record is from RNAcentral. Lineage: Bacteria; Pseudomonadati; Acidobacteriota.